This 105-nucleotide non-coding RNA is filed under the name Chattonella subsalsa. The record is from RNAcentral. Lineage: Eukaryota; Raphidophyceae; Chattonellales; Chattonellaceae.
AUUCUUCCAUUAAGUGUUUUUUUUUUCUUUUCAUCUUUGUCCAACAAUUUAAAAAGCGAAGUAAUGUGAGGAUGUGCACUUUCAAAAGGUAACACUAACGGCAAA